UCUGCAUUAAGUGUAGUCGCGUAGUCAUUGAAACUAUAAGAAAAAUAGCUUUUAUUAUAUUUUGGCUUGGAGUCGGAACAAGAGUUAGUCCAAUAGUUCAGAUGAGCCAUGAAGUAUUCAUUUGAUGUAUAAAUACUACAGUCUUUUCUUUAUAGGGCACAUUGAUCAUUCUACUAGGGUCAUGCGCGUCAUUACAUGGAAUAGGUCCUUCAAAGGUUUACCCGACUUAGAUGAUGGAGUUGACGACUCUGAUUCUGACGAGCACGAGACUCAUGCAACAGUAUUGGACAAGAUGCUGGCAUGGGAGAAGAAGCUUUAUGAUGAAGUUAAAGUAUGCACAUUAAUAUUUAUGUUCAACUUGUCAUAUAUAUUCGGUGGAUCUUUAGACUUUGUUUCUUUAGUAAUCAUCUUGUUUAAUUUUCAUCAAAAAAGUUAUACUUAAAAAUGGAAGAGUUUCUAAAUUUCAUCUUAUUCUCAAUAAGGUGGUUGAAUUCGAAAAUUUUUCUUACAUUUUGUUGUUAAUUUUGAAUAUUGUGAACAGUUUGUUUAACAGCUUCAAUUUUUAUGUAAUAUUCUACCAAGCAUCAAAAUCUAAAUUUGGUGCUUUCAUUGAAGUUUUUGCCAUUGAUUGGCUUUUAGAUACUGGUAUCCUAGGUUCAUUGCUUCAAACCUCAAUCAGAAACUCCAGUGAGGGCAUGUACAACUGGAAACCAGCAACGUGUGACAGUGUUGAAUUUGACACCAUGUCAAAGAAAUUAAGCGUGUGACUGAUGAGUUAGCUCUGAUAUCAAAUUGACACAGAACUUUCUCAGAAUGAGAAUUAGAGAUGAUAUAAUAAAAGAAGAAUUUAGGAGGAAGAAAUCUAUAUUUAAUAUCAAUAAUUACUAUAGUAUGAAUAUAAAUGAAAUCCCAGGUUCCUUUACAUAGGAUAAAGAACUUAAAUCUCAAAGAUAAUUGUAUAACUUUCAUGGUUGGGGUAUAGCCAACUCCUGCUGGCUUGCUGGGUCUAAGUGGACAUCCCACUCAGAUUUAGAUGGUGUUUUAAUUAAAUGAAAACUUAAAUCUUAAAAAACCUCUAAUAAUCAACAACCUUUUCUUGUAAAAUUCUAGUUAAUCAAAACUACUGAAAUGUAAUGUAAAUCAAAAUCUAAAGAGGGAGGUAUAUAUGUUCAUAUCCAGUCAAAAUAUUAUACUGAAGGGAUUAAGAUGUAAAGUGAAAACCAAUCAAAAUUUUGUAGAGGAUAUUUGUCGUCAUAAAAGGAGGAGACAAGCCAAGUAUACAUUUAGUCAGUCCUACGCUUUCAAGAAAUGGUAUAGAUUUCCCUUGUAAUAAAAUUAGAUUUUAGCCUAUGAUUCUUGAAUUUGACAUGGUAUCUCCUAAUUUUGUUGUUGCAAAAAAAUGUCGGUUUUGGACAUUCAUUGCUGCUACCGGAAUGAGAGAGCAGUCCCAAUCAAUUUUCUUUCUUUUUUUCUUGGUAUUCAAUUGAUUAGUGUUAAAACAAGAUUCUUCAUUAUAGUUUUGUAUCUUGACUGCUUGAUUCAUCUCUGUGGCCUUCACUGUCUACCCUUAUAUAUGUAUCCUGAAUUCCUGAUGUGGCCCAUAUUUGAUGAACACAUACCAGAAAUAUCCUGCUGUAUCUAGUGAUCAAUAUUUAUUUAUUAGUAAUGGCGAAGAUGAUAAAUUUUUUGAAUCCCACAAAAUAUUCUCUGUUUCUUUGCCACUUAAUGCCGUGUAAUGUUUGUCUCUGAAUCUCUCUCUCCAUUAAGAAUAGUUUGUGGUUUGUCUUUGAUGCUACAGGCAGGUGAGCAAAUGAAACUUGAAUAUCAGAAAAAGGUAGCUUCGUUGAAUAAGUUGAAGAAACAUGGCUCAAACACAGGCGCCUUAGAAAGGAUGAAAGCAGCAGUUAGUCAUCUGCAUACCAGAUACAUUGUUGACAUGCAAUCCAUGGACUCCACCGUUUCAGAAAUUAAUAGUUUGUGCAAUGAUCACCUGUAUCCGAAACUUGUUACCCUUGUUGAUGCGUAAGUUCCUACGCUGCUAUGAGAAAUACUGCCUAUUGUCUAGCCGUUGUUGAUGAUCUGUAGCUUGCUUCCAUUAGCAUUUGUUAUAAGCAAAAUAAUUAGUGUGGCAUAUACCAUGAUCGCUUCAUGAAACACGUAACCUUAAUAUGAUACCAUAAGUUUCUCUUGCUUAUCUUCAUGUACAUGAACUUCCAGGUUUCAUUUUUCUUACUACUUCAAAAAUCAGUUAGCCUAUGUAUCUUCCAUUUAUUUUUAUCCCUAUUGCAAAUGAAUAUCAAAUUUGAUUUUUCCCUUUUGUUACUGCAAAGUUCUUUACACAAGAUUGCAUUGUUCUUGUUGAGGAUGUAAUUAAAAUAAAUAUAUUUGUCCUUUCAAUAACAACUAAAGCUGUUAAAUUGAUGUGACUUGACUUGGUAACAGAGCACUUAAAGUUCCUUAACUCAAGUCCAGAUAUCAUCUAUCAUGAAAAUUUUGCUCAUGUUGGCCUUUGAUGUAUGUGAGGUGCCCCUUGAAGAUAUAGUUUAAAUAAAUAUGUUUGUCCUCUCUCUAUCAUCUUAAUCUUUUAGAUGAGAUGGUAAAUUGGUCCAAGCCAGGUAUUUGGUCAAAGCCAUGAGGAUCCCCUCUAAAUGAUAGACUGAUGGAUAUUCAUGGUUAUGCAUUGUAAUCAGCAUUUAAAUUACCUAAAUUUUAUAACUUUUAUUUUUUAAAUUUCGUUCUCGUGCCAAUUUUGAAGAAAAUUGUUUUUAGAAAAUUACAAUUUCUGUAAAGGUUUUCACAUAUACGGCCCUAUAAAGUUAGCUUCCUUUUUUUUUUUUUUUUUUUUCUUUUUUUUAAUCCUUAUUAACCUUAAAAACUAUAUUAAGUCCUUUCUUAUUGAUCACAGGAUGGCUAUAAUGUGGAAAACGAUGAGAAUGUACCAUGAAAAACAAUCUAAAAUUGUGCUAGCUUUGAAGCAUGUGGACAUUCCUCAAUCUCCUAAACAAACAAGUGACCACCACCACGAGCGCACUCAACUUUUAUGUUAUGUUGUUCAGGAUUGUCAUUCACGUUUAAGUGAACUCGUGUCUCAGCAGAAAGAAUAUAUUAAAUCUCUCGACGACUGGUUGAAGUUAAAUCUCAUUCCUAUAGAUACAAACUUGAAAGAGAAAGUUUCAUCUCCCCGUGGGACCCAAAAUCCCCCAUUACAGACACUUUUGCAAGACUGGCAGGAUUACCUCCAGAAUAUUCCUGAUGAGCCGAAAUCAACUAUUAAAAAUUUUGCUGUUCAGAUUCAGACUAUAUGGCAGGAUCAGAAAGAGGAGUUGGACUUAAGAAACAAAUGUGCAGAGUCGGAGAAGGAGCUUAUGAGAAGGUCCCGCGAGUUCAAGAAUUGGCAUAAUAAAUAUAUACAGAGGAGAACCCCACCUGAUGUAAUGGAUGCAGAUAGAGCACACGAUAAGGAUUUUAUUGCAGAAAGGGAGCAUAUUGUUGAAGCAGCAAAAUUGAAAUUGAGAGGUGAUGAGGAAGCAUACCAAAGGCUGUGCAUGCAGGUCAGAGAGAGAUCUAUGGCGAGCCUCAAAAGCAAUUUACCAGGACUUUUUGAGGCACUGUCAGAUUUUUCUCUUGCUUGUUCAGAUAUGUAUAACAACUUGAGGUCCAUCGAGCAUUCACGAAAUAGAAGUCAGGGUUGAUGAAGAAACGCUGAUUAUAUCAUUCCAUGCUAUUGGGUAAAUAUUUGUUUCACACUUUCAAAAUAAAUUCUACUUUGUUGUAUCUUUAUGUGAAAUAUGGAGUGUUUAAUGUAACUUGUGAAUUAAUUCAUUGGUAUGUAAGGUGUGUUUUAUAUGACAUAUGACUGUCAAGGGGGUCUUAAAUGGUAUUUCUUUGUUAUACACUUGUACGUACUUGUGUUUUAUACUUGUGAAUUAAUACAUUAAUACUUGUUUUGU
This 3950-nucleotide long non-coding RNA is filed under the name Olea europaea subsp. europaea. Lineage: Eukaryota; Viridiplantae; Streptophyta; Magnoliopsida; Lamiales; Oleaceae. The record is from RNAcentral.